Molecule: transfer RNA, 73 nt
Filed under: Vicugna pacos (alpaca)
Lineage: Eukaryota; Metazoa; Chordata; Mammalia; Artiodactyla; Camelidae
Description: tRNA-Ala (AGC) (tRNA-Ala-AGC-754-1)
Rfam family: tRNA
About the family: Transfer RNA (tRNA) molecules are approximately 80 nucleotides in length. Their secondary structure includes four short double-helical elements and three loops (D, anti-codon, and T loops). Further hydrogen bonds mediate the characteristic L-shaped molecular structure. tRNAs have two regions of fundamental functional importance: the anti-codon, which is responsible for specific mRNA codon recognition, and the 3' end, to which the tRNAs corresponding amino acid is attached (by aminoacyl-tRNA synthetases). tRNAs cope with the degeneracy of the genetic code in two manners: having more than one tRNA (with a specific anti-codon) for a particular amino acid; and 'wobble' base-pairing, i.e. permitting non-standard base-pairing at the 3rd anti-codon position.
Source: Rfam by way of RNAcentral
GGGGGUAUAGCUCAAGUGGUAGAGCACCUGCUUAGCAUGCAUGAGGUCCUGGGUUCAAUCCCCAGUACCUCCU